This 326-nucleotide long non-coding RNA is filed under the name Setaria viridis. Its description in RNAcentral is "long non-coding RNA (SVIR_LNC003478)". Lineage: Eukaryota; Viridiplantae; Streptophyta; Magnoliopsida; Poales; Poaceae. The record is from RNAcentral.
AUCGUUCGACUGUUUUCCGAUCCAAGCUUGUGGCGGUGAGCAGCAGCAGGCUGGUCUCACACUCUCGUUUGCUGAUGCAGUAGCGUAGAGUGGUGUGGUGCUACCGCUAUGCCGCACCGGUUCUCCCAGGCCGUAUAAAGCUAACAAUAUAGCCAACCUAUAUAAUUUGCUUGGCUACUAGAUUGGAUAAGAAGAGAGAUCUGUAUUAAAUAUGCUAGUAUUAAAUGCUUACAUGUCUAACCAUCAACUGCGGUCUACAUCUUUGUGGCUAUUUAUACACAACACAAUAUGGAAACCAUAUAGAUAGGCAAUCAGCCAUUACAAGU